AGUGAACGCUGGCGGUAGGCCUAACACAUGCAAGUCGAACGGCAGCACAGUAAGAGCUUGCUCUUACGGGUGGCGAGUGGCGGACGGGUGAGGAAUACAUCGGAAUCUACUUUUUCGUGGGGGAUAACGUAGGGAAACUUACGCUAAUACCGCAUACGACCUACGGGUGAAAGCAGGGGAUCUUCGGACCUUGCGCGAUUGAAUGAGCCGAUGUCGGAUUAGCUAGUUGGCGGGGUAAAGGCCCACCAAGGCGACGAUCCGUAGCUGGUCUGAGAGGAUGAUCAGCCACACUGGAACGGAGACACGGUCCAGACUUCGACGGGAGGCAGCAGUGGGGAAUAUUGGACAAUGGGCGGAAGCCUGAUCCAGCCAUACCGCGUGGGUGAAAAAGGCCUUCGGGUUGUAAAGCCCUUUUGUUGGGAAAGAAAAGCAGCAGGUUAAUACCCCGCUGUUCUGACGGUACCCAAAGAAUAAGCACCGGCUAACUUCGUG
This 492-nucleotide ribosomal RNA is filed under the name uncultured bacterium. RNAcentral's name for it is "partial 16S ribosomal RNA". It matches the Rfam family "Bacterial small subunit ribosomal RNA", at positions 29 to 507 of the family's 1533-position model. The record is from RNAcentral.